Molecule: long non-coding RNA, 4429 nt
Filed under: Sus scrofa (pig)
Lineage: Eukaryota; Metazoa; Chordata; Mammalia; Artiodactyla; Suidae
Description: lncRNA (ENSSSCG00015012418.1)
Source: RNAcentral
UUUUUUUUUUUUUUUGCUGUGAUGUACAGUGGGGGGUCUCAGUUCCCAGACCAGGCAUGAACCCGGGCCAUAGCCACUAGACCACCAGGGAACUCCCUUAGGUACAUUCUUUCAUUCUUUUUGUUCUUUUUUUUUUUCCUUAGAUACAUUCGUAAAUUUUUUUUUAUCAAGGUGAAUUUCACAUAACUCAAAACUAACCAUUUUAUUUACCUAUUUUUUAUUUUUUUGCCUUUUUUUUUUUUUAAGGGCCUAGUCAGCAGCAUAUGGAAGUUCCUGGACUAGGGGUCAAAUCAGAUCUGCAGCUGCCAGCCUAUACCACAGCCACAGCAGCAACAAAUAUGAGCCACAUCUUCGACCUGCACCACAACUCACAGCAACCAAUGCCAGAUCCUUAAUUCACUGAACAAAGCCAGGAAUCAAACUUGCAUGGAUACUAGUUGGGUUCAUUUCUGCUGAGCCACAACGGGAAGUCCCAAAUUAACCUUUUUUUUUUUUUAAGGGCUGCACUCUCAGCAUGUGGAGAGGUUUCCAUGCUAGGGGUCUAAUCGGAGCUACAGCUGUUGGCCUGUGCCACAGCAAUGCCAGAGCUAAGCAGCGUCUGUGACCUACACCACAGCUCACAGCAACGCUGGAUCCUUAACCUACUGAUCGAGGCCAGGGAUCGAACCUGCAACCUCAUGGCUCCUAGUGGGAUUCGCUUCUGCUGCUUCAUCAUGGGAACUCCCAAAUUAACCAUUUUAAAGUGAAUAAUUCAGUGGCAUUUAGUACAUUCACAUUGUUGUGCACCCACCAUCCAGCUCCAAAAUGUAUUCAUCACCACAAGGAAAUCUCAUUUCUCUCACGCAGCUCCUUCCCGUUGCCCGCUCUCCCCAGUUCCUCGUCCUUUGCAGGUGACGGUGUUCACAGGGUGUUUUGAGGCGUGGGGUAAUGCAGUCGUCUAAUCCUGUGGUACAGGGUUGGAAUUGAAGAAACCAGCAAGAAGUUCAAGAAGCAGUGGUGCUUUGAGCCAAGCCUUAGAGAUAGGAGUUUUCCCUGUGUUUCUGAUUUUAGGGUGUUUAUUACCUUUUUUUUUUUUUGGGUCUUUUUAGGACCCCUCAGCAAUGCCAGAUCUGAGCCUUGUCUUGGACCUACACCACAGCUCAUGGCAAUGCCGGGUCCUUAGCCCACUGAGCGAGGCCAGGGAUGGAACAUGCACCCUCAUGGUUCCUAGUCGGAGUCUUUAACCACUGCACCACGACAGGAACUCCAGUGUAGCCAUUAUUUAAAUUUAAGUUUAUUAAAAUCAAAUAAAUGGAGAGUUCAGUUCUGUCCCAUUAGCCACAUUUCAGGUGCUCAGUAGAUGUCUGUAGACACUGUGCUGGACUGCGCAGAAUCGAACAUCUCCAUUUUCCCAGAGGGCACUGCUGGGCAGCUGUGACCUCGAGGUUCUGAUGAAGUGAAAGCUUUGUUCUUUUUAACUUCUGUACUGCUUCUGGAUUCUGCUGCUUUAAUCAAGGUACCUGGUGAAAUGUAUAUUGGAACAGCUGAUAAAUAUUAAGAUGGAUUUGUGCUGAAUUCCUCUAGUGGAGUAUUUGUGAAAAUACUGCUGUUAGGGUAUUCAAAGUUAGGCUUCUUGAGAAAGCAGGUAGAAAUUGAAAGCAUAGAAGAGCUUUGUUUUUUGAGGCGGUUAUCUAGUACCUAGUUAACGAAAAGGAUGAUGAAGCUGUACAGCUAUGUUGAAGAUAAGUGUAGGACUUAAAAAAUCAACAGUAUGAAGGCUCAGCAUUGUUUCUAAAGAUUAGGUUCACAUUUAUUAUUAUUUUUUAAUUUUUAAUUUUUUUAAAUUUUUUUUGUCUUUUUUUUUGCUAUUUCUUGGGCCGCUCCCGUGGCACGUGGAGGUUCCCAGGCUAGGGGUCGAAUCAGAGCUGUAGCCACAGGCCUACGCCAGAGCCACAGCAACGCGGGAUCCGAGCCGCGUCUGCAACCUACACCACAGCUCACGGCAACGCUGGAUCGUUAACCCACUGAGCAAGGGCAGGGAUCGAACCCGCAACCUCAUGGUUCCUAGUCGGAUUUGUUAAGCACUGCGCCACGACGGGAACUUCCAAGAUUAGGUUUUUAAAAACAGCCUUAUGAGGUAUAAUUGACUUAAAAUAAGCUCUGCAUAUUUAAUGUGUACAAUUAUACGUCAGUGAGGCUGCUCGAAGCCCUGCUGCUUCCUGCUGCUGCUGUUCAGUCUUUUCUCUUUUGUUUUGGAUGCUUUCUAUUGCUUUACCUUUAAGUUUGCUAAUAUUUUCUUUUGCAAUGUCCAGUCUGCUCUUAAUACAUUGUAUGUAGUAUAUUUUUCAUCUCAGACAUUAUAGGUUUCAUAUCUAGAAGUUUGAUUUGGAUCUUUUUUUAAAAUGUAUUUUAUGUCCCUGCUUAACAUAGUCUUUCCUUUGAAUUCUCACAUUGAAAUACAGUUACAGUUGUCUUAAUACCUUUGUCCACUAAUUAUGUCAUCUCUCUCAUUUAUUUCUUUUUUCUUUUUUCUUUUUUUAGGGCCACACCCACGAAAUAUGGAGGUUCCCAGGCUAGGGGUCUAAUCAGAGCUGUAGCUGCCGGUCUGCGCCACAGCCACAGCAACACCAGAUCUGAGCCACAUCUGCGACCUACACCAUAGUUCACAGCAAUGCCAGAUCCUUAACCCACUGAGCGAGACCGGGGAUCUAACCCACAACCUCAUGGCUCCUAGUUGGGUUCACUAACUGCUGAGCCAUGACGGGAACUCUGAUUCCUAUAAAUAUUUUCUUGAGUUUUGUUCUGGAACAUGAUGCAGUUCCUUACAAAUGGUUUGUUCAUUUCAAAUCUUGUUAGGUGGGAUCAGAGCAGCAUUUAGUUUAGGGCUAAUUAUUUCCCACUACUGAGCCAAAACUCUUCUGAGUACUCUAAUAGUUUGUUAAUUCUGAGGUUUUCCACUCUGUUGGGAAUCAGUCCUCUUCUUGGCCCUGUGUGAGCCUCAUGAAUUAUCCUUGUUAUUCUUUUUUUGUUGUUGUUGUUGUCUUUUUGCCAUUUUCUUGGGCCGUUUUCGUGGCAUAUGGAAGUUCCCAGGCUAGGGGUCGAAUUGGAGCUAUAGCCGCUGGCCUAUGCCAGAGCCACAGCAACGUGGGAUCCAAGCCACGUCUGUGACCAACACCACAGCUCACGGCAACGCCGGAUCCUUCACCCACUGAGCAAGGCCAGGGAUCGAACCCGCCACCUCAUGGUUCCUAGUCAGAUUCGUUUCCACUGCACCACAACGGGAACUCCAGUCCUUGUUAUUCUUUUGGGUAGUUCUCCCUCCCGCUUUGCUGUUGUUUUUUGUUUUUGUUUUUUGCUUUUUAGGGCCAAACCCACGGCAUAUGGAAGUUCCCAGGCUUGGGGUCCAAUUGGAGCUCUUGCUUCCACCUUACACCACAGCCACAGCAACACCAACGUGGGAUCUGAGCCUCGUCUUCCACCUACAGCAUAGCUCACUGCAAUGCCAGAUCCUUAACCCACUGAGGGAGGCCAGGGAUCGAACCUACGUCCUCAUGGAUACUAGUCAGAUUGCCCCCCACCCCCGUUGGAUGCCCCUCAUCACAUGGAGCUCCCAGGCCAAGGAUCAGAUCCGAGCCGAAGACCUAAGCACUAGCUGCGGCAAUGCCAGAUCCCCAACCCACUGUGCCGGGCUGGGGAUCAAACCAGUAUCCUGGUGCUCCCAAGACGCUGCUGGUCCUGUUGCACCACAGUGGGAACUCCUGGGUGGUUCUUCAUAUGGAAACCUCAAGUAUUUUCUUCACAGGCGUCUGCUGGCCAGUACUGUCCUGAGUACGCAAGGAGGAGAGCUCUGGACUCCUCUUUCUGUGCAGCUCUCUCUUUUGUGGAUAACCUGCCCUGCAGACUCGAGCUGCCUUGUCCGCCUUGGCCUCAACUUGUCUCUGAGUGUGGGGAGACUGCCUAACUUCCCCUGGAUUCCUUCUCCCUGUGCUGCCAGUUGGAAACCCUCCAAGCAGUAAACUGGGGUGGUUGUAGGAUUUGCUUCAUUCUUUCCUUGUUUCUCAGGGAUCACUCUACUUCGUAACUUUGUGUCUUAAAAACUAUUGCUUUGUAUAUUCCAGUUUUCAGUUGUUCACCAUGGUGGAGUAAAUCUGGUUCAUGUCAUCCCACCUGCCUAGAAGCAGAAGUGUAAACUUUUUUUAAAAAAGGGAAGUAGGUAAUUCUCAUUGUGGCUCAGCGGAAACGAUCCUGCCUAGUAUCCAUGAGGACACAGGUGCGAUCCCUGGCCCUGCUCAGUGGGUUAAGGAUAUGGUGUUGCCAUGAGCUGUGGUGUAGGUCUGGCAUUGCUAUGGCUGUGGUGUAGGCUGGGAGCUCCAGCUCAAAUUUGACCCCCAAGCCUGGAAACUUCCAUAUGCCACAGGUGUGGCCCCAAAAAGACAAAAAAAAAAAAAAA